This is a non-coding RNA of Paramuricea clavata, 548 nucleotides long. The record is from the annotation of a GenBank genome assembly. NCBI's taxonomy places the organism in Eukaryota, Metazoa, Cnidaria, Anthozoa, Malacalcyonacea, Plexauridae.
UAGGGAGUGUUCAUUAUUUAUACCCGGGGUUGGUACCGAAGAGAAACUAAUCGAAAAGAGAAAAAAACAACCACCCACCCUUUCAAUCAGCCAUUUUUUUCCCUACCCAACUAUUGCAUGACUUGGAUUUUUAUUUUACCCAACCCAAUUUCAAAAUUAUACAAGUAUUUUACAUAUAUACAUAUAUAUUAUUAUACAAGCUAGGCCACCAUAGUAUAAACAGUACUAUGCAUAUUUGGCGCAAUAACUGAAUGUCAAAUAUAAUCAUUUGUACCUUCACAAGUUCAUAUUAUGUUCCCAAGCCUCCAAGUUCCUGCAGUCCUACCAUAUCUCGUUGUUGUAAUCAGAGGGGAUGGGGAGUUGGAGUUUAGUUUUCUUUGUGGGGAAUGAAUGGAUAUUUCCUGGAAUGACCCAUUUUGUUAAAUAAAGGAUUUUCAUAUUUUGUUCAAUUGAAGGUUUGUAUUGAAAAUAAUUUACCCAACCAUAGGCUUUGUUCAAAAAAUAUUUACCCAACCCUUCAUACCCCAGAAAAAUGGCUUACCCAACCC